This 72-nucleotide transfer RNA is filed under the name Cricetulus griseus (Chinese hamster). It matches the Rfam family "tRNA". Rfam says of the family: Transfer RNA (tRNA) molecules are approximately 80 nucleotides in length. The record is from Rfam by way of RNAcentral. Lineage: Eukaryota; Metazoa; Chordata; Mammalia; Rodentia; Cricetidae.
GGAGAUAGAGUUCAAUGGUAGAAUAUUUGCCUAGCAUGCAUAAGGACCUAGGUUCAAUUUUCAGUAUUGUCU